GCAUGGUCUGUGUGUGUGUCAGUCCCAGUUAAGGAGGUGUGGCCUCUGUGGAAUGAGGUGUGGCUUCUGUAUCUUUAUUCUUAGUGAAGGACAUGUGGCUUCUGUGUCUUUAGUCUCAGUGAAGGAGGUGUGGCUUCUGUGUCUUUAGUCUCAGUGAAGGAGUGGGGCGUCUGUGUCUUUAAUGUCAGUGAAGGAGGUGUGGCCUCUCCAACGUUAGUCUCAGUGAAGGAGGUGUGGCUUCUGUGUCUUUAAUCUCAGUGAAGGAGGUGUGGCUUCUGUGUCUUUAGCCUCAGUGAAGGAGGUGGGGCUUCUGUUUCUUUAGUGUUAGUGAAGGAGGUGUGGCUUCUGUGUCUUUAGCCUCAGUGAAGGAGGAGAGAAACAGAGAGUGACAUAGAAUAAACAAAGAGACAGACAGAGAGAGACAGAGUCAGUUAGACAGACACACC
Molecule: long non-coding RNA, 446 nt
Organism: Ictalurus punctatus (channel catfish)
Lineage: Eukaryota; Metazoa; Chordata; Actinopteri; Siluriformes; Ictaluridae
Source: Ensembl